This 438-nucleotide ribosomal RNA is filed under the name Wolbachia endosymbiont of Ostrinia furnacalis. RNAcentral's name for it is "bacterial SSU rRNA". It matches the Rfam family "Bacterial small subunit ribosomal RNA", at positions 992 to 1428 of the family's 1533-position model. RNAcentral also lists the same sequence under 8 other names. The record is from RNAcentral. Lineage: Bacteria; Pseudomonadati; Pseudomonadota; Alphaproteobacteria; Rickettsiales; Anaplasmataceae.
CAUACCUAUUCGAAGGGAUAGGGUCGGUUCGGCCGGAUUUUACACAAGUGUUGCAUGGCUGUCGUCAGCUCGUGUCGUGAGAUGUUGGGUUAAGUCCCGCAACGAGCGCAACCCUCAUCCUUAGUUGCUAUCAGGUAAUGCUGAGUACUUUAAGGAAACUGCCAGUGAUAAGCUGGAGGAAGGUGGGGAUGAUGUCAAGUCAUCAUGGCCUUUAUGGAGUGGGCUACACACGUGCUACAAUGGUGUCUACAAUGGGCUGCAAGGUGCGCAAGCCUAAGCUAAUCCCUAAAAGACAUCUCAGUUCGGAUUGUACUCUGCAACUCGAGUACAUGAAGUUGGAAUCGCUAGUAAUCGUGGAUCAGCAUGCCACGGUGAAUACGUUCUCGGGUCUUGUACACACUGCCCGUCACGCCAUGGGAAUUGGUUUCACUCGAAGCU